RNAcentral lists this ribosomal RNA (253 nucleotides) under uncultured bacterium. RNAcentral describes it as "partial 16S ribosomal RNA". It matches the Rfam family "Bacterial small subunit ribosomal RNA", at positions 524 to 776 of the family's 1533-position model. The record is from RNAcentral.
UACAGAGGGUGCGAGCGUUAAUCGGAGUAACUGGGCGUAAAGGGCACGUAGGCGGUGAGAUUAGUCUGAUGUGAAAGACCUGGGCUUAACCUGGGAUGUGCAUUGGAAACGGUCUCGCUAGAGUAUGGGAGAGGGAAGUGGAAUUUCCGGUGUAGCGGUGAAAUGCGUAGAGAUCGGAAAGAACACUCGUGGCGAAGGCGGCUUUCUGGCCCAAAACUGACGCUGAGGUGCGAAAGCGUGGGGAGCAAACAGG